This 325-nucleotide long non-coding RNA is filed under the name Rattus norvegicus (Norway rat). RNAcentral's name for it is "long non-coding RNA NONRATT011075". Lineage: Eukaryota; Metazoa; Chordata; Mammalia; Rodentia; Muridae. The record is from RNAcentral.
GAAAGAUCUCCCAUGCUCAUGGAUUGGCAGGAUUAAUUUAGUAAAAAUGGCCAUUUUACCAAAAGCAAUCUACAGAUUCAAUGCAAUCCCCAUCAAAAUACCAAUCCAAUUCUUCAAAGAGUUAGACAGAACAAUUUGCAAAUUCAUCUGGAAUAACAAAAAACCCAGGAUAGCUAAAGCUAUCCUCAACAAUAAAAGGACUUCAGGGGGAAUCACUAUCCCUGAACUCAAGCAUUAUUACAGAGCAAUAGUGAUAAAAACUGCAUGGUAUUGGUACAGAGACAGACAGAUAGACCAAUGGAAUAGAAUUGAAGACCCAGAAAUG